CGCCGUUCGCGUUCUCCGCCUGCUGAGCUGGGGUUCAAUAAAGAGGCAUUUGUGUCUCAGACGAGGAUGAUGAUUUGGACAUUGCUGUAACUCAAUCUUCACUUCUCUCCUAAUGUAGUUUUAUUCUUCAAUUAUAGAAUUACAUAUUCUUUUUUAAAUAAACAAAAAUCCUAAGAUUACUCCUAAAGAAAUGAGGUCACACCUCCAGGUAUAAACCUGUAAAUAUUUAGGAAAGGUCAAAUUAAAGUCAGUUCUGAAUGUUUUUGUGUAUUUUGGGUCAUCCGUCCAAAUCUGAUUUGUCCUGUUUGUGGUCAAAAGGUUGCUGGAGCCUAUCCUAGCAGGUCAAAGGGAGAGGAAGCCCGCCCUCCACCAACAGACUGUUUAGACCUAAAAAAAAAAAAGAAAUCUUGUGUUGAGACCGGAGGAGGAAGCUGGGAUUUGAACCAGCACCUUCCUGCUGCCCCACCAUGCAGUCCCAGUUUUUAAGAAUGUGUCACUUUUUUCUAAAAUCUUUCAUAUUUCCAAAAAAACUCUAUUGUCCUUUCACCGUUAUGUGAUCGUCGGUACAUAAAGAUUUUUGUGAACAUACAAAGUGAGGAUUACCGGGCAAAAAUCCAAUUCAUUAAAAGGUUUUUUUAAAAGCCUUUUAGCAACUUUAAAAAAAAAAAAGUUCCAGCAACAACGAUCCAAGCAGAUGUUUUAGGGGGAUUUCCUCUUCUUCAUGUUGUAGUUUUACCGUGACACCCCCAUUUCUGUCGUUGUCCUUCAAAGCUAACACGUUUUUAGAUUUGAAAUGUUUUAUUUAAUUUAAAUGAUUGUGGAAUAAAUCCUUCUCCUGGCUUUGCGUGUUUGGAUCUCGUGUGUUUUCUUUUUUUUUUACCUUUUAAAAAAACGACUUAACAAAAGGCGGUAGCAGAAAACCUGAGUGCCGGCUGUCCCUUAAAGGACAGAUAUUUUAAACCUCCUGUUGGGUCUGCAUGGAGUUUGUUGGAAAAGGUUAUUUCUGGAUUGUUUGUUUCAUUUCUUAAUGAGAUCCCAUUUCUUAUCUGCAGGUCUCAGUGGCAGAGAGGAAACGGCGUGUACUUGAAGUCGGACACACCUCACCUUUCCUUCCACUUUCCACUUGAGGUUUCCUCCUGGAGCAUCCUGACUCAUGCCGCCCCCCUCCUAUAGCCCCCCAUCCUCUGGGAGCAGCCGUGAGGC
This 1203-nucleotide long non-coding RNA is filed under the name Oryzias sinensis (Chinese medaka). Its description in RNAcentral is "lncRNA (ENSOSIG00000001078.1)". Lineage: Eukaryota; Metazoa; Chordata; Actinopteri; Beloniformes; Adrianichthyidae. The record is from RNAcentral.